GAUGAACGCUAGCUACAGGCUUAACACAUGCAAGUCGAGGGGCAGCAUGGUCUUAGCUUGCUAAGGCCGAUGGCGACCGGCGCACGGGUGAGUAACACGUAUCCAACCUGCCGUCUACUCUUGGACAGCCUUCUGAAAGGAAGAUUAAUACAAGAUGGCAUCAUGAGUUCACAUGUUCACAUGAUUAAAGGUAUUCCGGUAGACGAUGGGGAUGCGUUCCAUUAGAUAGUAGGCGGGGUAACGGCCCACCUAGUCUUCGAUGGAUAGGGGUUCUGAGAGGAAGGUCCCCCACAUUGGAACUGAGACACGGUCCAAACUCCUACGGGAGGCAGCAGUGAGGAAUAUUGGUCAAUGGGCGAGAGCCUGAACCAGCCAAGUAGCGUGAAGGAUGACUGCCCUACGGGUUGUAAACUUCUUUUAUAAAGGAAUAAAGUCGGGUAUGUAUACCCGUUUGCAUGUACUUUAUGAAUAAGGAUCGGCUAACUCCGUG
RNAcentral lists this ribosomal RNA (490 nucleotides) under uncultured bacterium. RNAcentral describes it as "partial 16S ribosomal RNA". It matches the Rfam family "Bacterial small subunit ribosomal RNA", at positions 28 to 507 of the family's 1533-position model. The record is from RNAcentral.